This 77-nucleotide transfer RNA is filed under the name Paradevosia shaoguanensis. RNAcentral's name for it is "tRNA-Arg". It matches the Rfam family "tRNA". Rfam says of the family: Transfer RNA (tRNA) molecules are approximately 80 nucleotides in length. Their secondary structure includes four short double-helical elements and three loops (D, anti-codon, and T loops). RNAcentral also lists the same sequence under 2 other names. Lineage: Bacteria; Pseudomonadati; Pseudomonadota; Alphaproteobacteria; Hyphomicrobiales; Devosiaceae. The record is from RNAcentral.
GGUCCCGUAGCUCAGCUGGAUAGAGCACAGGAUUCCUAAUCCUGGGGUCACGCGUUCGAAUCGCGUCGGGAUCACCA